This 68-nucleotide transfer RNA is filed under the name Toxocara canis (dog roundworm). It matches the Rfam family "tRNA". From Rfam's summary of the family: Transfer RNA (tRNA) molecules are approximately 80 nucleotides in length. The record is from Rfam by way of RNAcentral. Lineage: Eukaryota; Metazoa; Nematoda; Chromadorea; Rhabditida; Toxocaridae.
CUUCUUAGCUCAGUCGGUAUAGCUUCAGACUUUUACUCUGAAGAUCGUGGGUUCGAGUACCACAAAAG